RNAcentral lists this ribosomal RNA (253 nucleotides) under uncultured bacterium. RNAcentral's name for it is "partial 16S ribosomal RNA". It matches the Rfam family "Bacterial small subunit ribosomal RNA", at positions 524 to 776 of the family's 1533-position model. The record is from RNAcentral.
GACGAACCGUCCAAACGUUGCUCGGAAUCACUGGGCUUAAAGGGCGCGUAGGCGGGUUCCCAAGUCGGUGGUGAAAUCUUUCGGCUCAACCGGAAAACAGCCGCCGAUACUGGGGACCUCGAGGGAGGUAGGGGUCGAGGGAAUUCCUGGUGUAGCGGUGAAAUGCGUAGAGAUCAGGAAGAACACCGGUGGCGAAAGCGCUCUGCUGGACCUUAACUGACACUGAGGGACGAAAGCUAGGGGAGCGAAUGGG